This 418-nucleotide long non-coding RNA is filed under the name Chinchilla lanigera (long-tailed chinchilla). RNAcentral describes it as "lncRNA (ENSCLAG00000027787.1)". The record is from RNAcentral. Lineage: Eukaryota; Metazoa; Chordata; Mammalia; Rodentia; Chinchillidae.
CUCCAUGAUUUGCCUGUCUGUGGAACAAGAUCACACCAAGGAGAGCACAGGAUGGAACAGAUGGGACAGCCAGCAUGACAAGCUCCUCCAGGAAAACCAACAGCUCCCUACAGCUUUGAAACUUCUUCCUCUCCAGUUCUACCUCUUCUGCUGCCAGCAACAAUCCUCAGGUGGGCUUUCCACACCCAGCACCAUCCUGACUCAGUUCAGCUGGGGGUUACAAGUUGACCACCAGUUCUCAAUCCACCACACAUCUAAAGGACGAAGAGAAGCUUGUCCAUGCUCUCUCUUCUGUCUUGUUGCUUUUGCUAUCUUCCACUGCCAUGGACUAUUGCCCCUCUGCCAUGUACCACCCUGUCUUGGAGCCAGCUAAUUAGGGACUGAAACCUCUACAAACUGUGAUCUAAAUAAAUAUUUC